AUUGCACGCUGGCGGCAGGCUUAACACAUGCAAGUCGAACGAGUGGCGGACGGGUUAGUAAUGCUUGGGAAUCUAUCUUAUGGAGGGGGAUCACUACGGGAAACUAUAGCUAAUACCGCAUCCCAUAGGAUAAGCCCAAGUGUGAUUAGGUAGUGGGUGAGGUAAAGGCUCACCAAGCCGACGAUCUCGAGCUGGUCUGAGAGGAUGACCAGUCACACUGGGACUGAGAGACGGCCCAGACUCCUACGGGAGGCAGCAGUGGGGAAUAUUGCGCAAUGGGCGAAACCUGAUGCAGCCAUGCCGCGUGAAUGAAGAAGGCCUGCGGGUUGUAAAGUUCUUUCGGUAGCGAGGCGUUAACUACAGAAGAAGCACCGGCUAACUCCGUGCCAGCCGCCGCGGUAAUAC
Molecule: ribosomal RNA, 405 nt
Filed under: uncultured bacterium
Lineage: Bacteria
Description: partial 16S ribosomal RNA
Rfam family: Bacterial small subunit ribosomal RNA
Source: RNAcentral